This 783-nucleotide ribosomal RNA is filed under the name uncultured Parcubacteria group bacterium. RNAcentral's name for it is "bacterial SSU rRNA". It matches the Rfam family "Bacterial small subunit ribosomal RNA", at positions 550 to 1341 of the family's 1533-position model. The record is from RNAcentral.
AUUAUUGGGCGUAAAGCGUACGUAGGCUGUUUGUUGCAUCUCCCGUUAAAUCCCAGAGCUUAACUUUGGGGCCGCGGGAGAGAUGGGCAAACUAGAGUCCGGAAGAGGCAAGUGGAAUUGCUGGUGUAGGGGUUAAAUCCGUUAAUAUCAGCAGGAACACCAAAUGCGAAGGCAUCUUGCUAGUACGGUACUGACGCUGAGGUACGAAAGCGUGGGGAGCGAAUGGGAUUAGAUACCCCAGUAGUCCACGCCGUAAACGAUGGAUGCUAAGCAUCGGGAGUAUCGACCCUCUCGGUGCUGUCUACCUAAGUUAACACCUUAAGCAUCCCGCCUGGGGAGUACGAGCGCAAGCUUAAAACUCAAAGGAAUAGACGGGGACCCGCACAAGCGGUGGAGCAUGUGGUUUAAUUCGACGGUAAGCGAGGAACCUCACCAAGGUUUGACAUCUAGCUGCAGAGCCCGAGAAAUCUGGCAGCCUUCGAGGGUGCUAGACAGGUGCUGCAUGGUUGUCGUCAGCUCGUGUCGUGAGAUGUACCGUUAAGUCGGGAAACGAGCGCAACCCCUAUCCUAUGUUUUACAUGUCAUAGGAAACUGCCCGCUUUAAGUGGGAGGAAGGUGGGGAUGACGUCAAAUCAGCAUGGUCCUUACACCUUGGGCAACACACGUGCUACAAUGGGAAGUACAGAGGGACGCCAAGCGGUAACGCGGAGCAAAUCCCAAAAACUUUUCUCAGUUCGGAUUGAGGUCUGCAACCCGACCUCAUGAAGCUGGAAUCGCUAGUAA